AUUCGCGGCCUAUCAGCUUGUUGGUGGGGUGAUGGCCUACCAAGGCGACGACGGGUAGCCGGCCUGAGAGGGCGACCGGCCACACUGGGACUGAGACACGGCCCAGACUCCUACGGGAGGCAGCAGUGGGGAAUAUUGCACAAUGGGCGCAAGCCUGAUGCAGCGACGCCGCGUGAGGGAUGACGGCCUUCGGGUUGUAAACCUCUUUCAGCAGGGAAGAAGCUUCGGUGACGGUACCUGCAGAAGAAGCACCGGCUAACUACGUGCCAGCAGCCGCGGUAAUACGUAGGGUGCAAGCGUUGUCCGGAAUUAUUGGGCGUAAAGAGCUCGUAGGCGGUGUGUCGCGUCUGCUGUGAAAACUCAGGGCUUAACUCUGAGCUUGCAGUGGGUACGGGCAUACUUGAGUGCUGUAGGGGAGACUGGAAUUCCUGGUGUAGCGGUGAAAUGCGCAGAUAUCAGGAGGAACACCGGUGGCGAAGGCGGGUCUCUGGGCAGUUACUGACGCUGAGGAGCGAAAGCAUGGGGAGCGAACAGGAUUAGAUACCCUGGUAGUCCAUGCCGUAAACGUUGGGCGCUAGGUGUGGGGUCCAUUCCACGGAUUCCGUGCCGCAGCUAACGCAUUAAGCGCCCCGCCUGGGGAGUACGGAAU
Molecule: ribosomal RNA, 649 nt
Filed under: uncultured Actinomycetes bacterium
Lineage: Bacteria; Bacillati; Actinomycetota; Actinomycetes
Description: bacterial SSU rRNA
Rfam family: Bacterial small subunit ribosomal RNA
Source: RNAcentral